CGGCCGCGUCGACGUUUGAUCCUGGCUCAGGACGAACGCUGGCGGCGUGCUUAACACAUGCAAGUCGAACGGAAAGGCCCUGCUUUUGUGGGGUGCUCGAGUGGCGAACGGGUGAGUAACACGUGAGUAACCUGCCCUUGACUUUGGGAUAACUUCAGGAAACUGGGGCUAAUACCGGAUAGGAGCUCCUGCUGCAUGGUGGGGGUUGGAAAGUUUCGGCGGUUGGGGAUGGACUCGCGGCUUAUCAGCUUGUUGGUGGGGUAGUGGCUUACCAAGGCUUUGACGGGUAGCCGGCCUGAGAGGGUGACCGGCCACAUUGGGACUGAGAUACGGCCCAGACUCCUACGGGAGGCAGCAGUGGGGAAUAUUGCACAAUGGGCGCAAGCCUGAUGCAGCGACGCCGCGUGAGGGAUGACGGCCUUCGGGUUGUAAACCUCUUUCAGUAGGGAAGAAGCGAAAGUGACGGUACCUGCAGAAGAAGCAC
Molecule: ribosomal RNA, 484 nt
Filed under: uncultured bacterium
Lineage: Bacteria
Description: bacterial SSU rRNA
Rfam family: Bacterial small subunit ribosomal RNA
Source: RNAcentral